Non-coding RNA from Manis javanica (Malayan pangolin), 3909 nucleotides. NCBI's taxonomy places the organism in Eukaryota, Metazoa, Chordata, Mammalia, Pholidota, Manidae. The record is from RefSeq and is a predicted model, not a curated record.
ACCUCAUUCUCCCUGACCGUCUUUGGAGCCCAUGGCUAUGGCUUCCCCUUACCUACAUAAUUAAACUGUUUUUUUUCCCCUCCUGUUACUAUGUCUUCCGUCAAUCUGAUUCUUAGACCAGCUAGAAGAACCUCGAGGAGCAGAAGAAAUUUCUUCUCCACCGACCUGGGAAAGCGCUGAGGACGCGGAUGGAGGCAAGAGACGCAGAAAUGGAGAGAGAGACGGAGUAGUUCAGAGUCUGCUCCUCAGUGGUUUACGGAACUUCUCCCUCCAGAGCUGGCAGCGGACAGGCCGAGACUCGUGGGAGGCAGCGCGCCCAGUUCUCUCCCGGGACCGCGGAAGAGGGCAGAGCCGUCCGGAGGACGAGCCAGGGAGCGUGCCCAGGGCCGAAAGCCGACCCGUGCCGCAGAAGUGGACCCAAGCCAAGGGCCACAGCGGAAGCAGCUGGUGUUAGACUGCGGGCGGAGAAGGGGUGGGGGCCGGGGCGAGGUGCUGCGGGGAGACGCCUCUGGAGGGGGGGCACCGGCCACCCGCGCCGAGCCAGGCGCACGAGGGUCUCCCAGAGCCGCCCGUCUCGCCACCCUAGAGUCUCUCAAUCCCCCUGCCUUGGCUCCUGCGGCACUUCCGGGCUCCCUCGGUGGCACUCCAGGGGCGAGUACUGGAUGCGGGUGGCCACCUUCCUGGGCUCGGGGACCUGGCACAGCGUGUCAGCGCGCCCGGUGAGAGCGGCAGCCUAGAGCUCAGCCCUGCGGCCGGACAACUUCAGUGGGCGGGGGUAGUGAGGGCCUGGCCCCCUCGAAUUCGACCCACUCCACCCCAAGAGCCCUCCCUUUCUCCUCUCCCCCGAACCCGGAAGCGGGACUUGGGGGUGAAGCCCCCAGGGACGAGGGUCUGGUGCUGCUGCGGCGCGGCACAAGGCGAGACCCCCAUCCCCGCGCGGUCCCUCCCCUCGGGCUAGGUGCGGCCUCGGGUUCCCGCUCCAGCCGGAGCCUGGAGCUGCGGGAGAGGACAGAGGGGGGACUCCCUUUCCUGCUGGCUGAGGUCAUCGGAGCCCCAGAUCUGACCAACAACAGCACACGUGUGAGGAGCCCCAAGUCCUGGUAGCACCCGACCAUGAGCUCCCAGUCCCGAAGCCCUCUGUGUGGAAGCACGUGCAGCAGCCAGGUGUGCUCCCACCUGACUGUGGGUCCCUAGCUCUUGCCAUCACACUGCCUAACAGCCUUCCUGAGGACUGGGAUGUGUGACAGUGCUGCUCCUGAGCCUCCCAGGGCUUUUUUCUGUUUUCCACACAUAAUGUAGUGGUCACUGCAGCAUCUCAGUCUCUCUGAAUCUAACCCCUCAAUAUACUGAGCCUAGGGAGACCAGGCACCCCAAUUCUCCCUCUCCCUUUGUCCAAAUGCUGCCCCUUCAGGUCCAGCUCAGGCCCCACCUCCCCUUGAAGUCCUCAGGGACUGCCCUACACCCAUAGCUGGAGCAAUGGAUCCACAUACCCCUCAUGAGCCCUACUAUGGCUGGGGGUGAAUGCGGUGGUGAGCAAGUCACACCCAGCUCUGCCCAUUUGGAACCAGUGGAGGAGAUGGACCCAGUGUUCCAGUCCCAACACAGAGGGGCCUGGUGUCUUAUCCUCCCCUGUGGCUUGAUCUAGCUCAAAAGACUGGAACUCAAAUGCCUGCAGGGCCAGCAAGUAGCAAAAAGCUAGGGAUAAGGGAUGGGCAGGAACUUACUCAUGUUUGAUGGGGACACUGGUGACCCAGUUGUUACUACAGCCAGAUCUGACCCAGUUGUGACUACAGCCAGAUCUUUAGAUGUUUCAAGAGAAACCAGACAUUUUUUAAUAUUUAAAUGUAAGCCACUGAUUCAGCUUGCAAAAGAAACAAAUUCAAAACUUUGGUAGCCAGUCAAAACAAACCUGCAAACCAACUAAAGCUCUCAGGCCCUCAGCUUGCACCCCCUGGUGGAGACAGAGGCCUCCAGGUUUGAAGUGCAGCUCAGGUUCGUAUGUGUGGUUGGCUGUUUUUCUUCUCUGGUCUCUUUAGGGCAGUUGGGCUCAGUGGCCUCUUCCAACCCACACCGCUGAGCAGCAUAGACUUCCAACUAUUAGUCACCGUGUGCUACUGGAUCCCCAGCUUCAUGUCCAACAUUGUUGGCAUCUGUACCUCAAGGAUAGGACAGUGAGCAGGGACUUGAAGCUGCCCGCCUGGGCCAGGGAGAUCUUUCAUGAGGGCUUUCUAAGCUGCAUGGGCUCAGGGGUCCCUUCUGCCCUGGACAGCUGCACUGGCUUCAUUGACUUCUCAACAGGAUCAUCUUCCACUGCUCAGCCCAAUGCGCUGCCAUUAUAACAGUGACCAGCGGUGCCUGGCAUCUACCCAAAGCAGGAGACCCCUGCGGCAGAGUAUCACUACUUUCCAGAGCCGCCUGGUCCGGAUAUCACGGGACAUCCAGGAUCGGAACCGGGGCCUGGCGCUGCCCUCCGCCUACCUAGACCACGGGGUGGUGGAGAAUAGCAUCGCCCUGUGAGCGUGCGCGCACAGGCGCCCCAGCCCGCACCCGGAGGAGCCAGCCCUUCAGCCCGCAUCCGCAGUAAAAGCACCCUGCCUGUGCUCAGAGUUCCCGCACCCUGAGGCCCCAGGGCACCUUGUCGUCGGGCUCCCGGCUGAGUGUCCAGAGCACCAGUAGUGUAACGCAUGUUGUCUUCACAUCCGGCAACGUGUCCAUAAAGGUCUCCAGAGUGGUCAGCCCCUUGGUCUCCAUCGCUGCGUGCUUGGCAGAGCAGAUGUAGAUGACGAUGGUGACAUACCGUAUCAACUCAGGCACUGUUCGCAAGCAGGGCCAAAGUGCAGCAAGCAGAGGGGUGCACAGUGAUGCUGCUUCCGGCCGUUGAGCUCGACGGUGGGGAUGCCCUCCAAAAUGCGGUAGUCUGCCAGGAAAAUGUUCCCCUUCUGGAGGGGAGCUGCGAUGGGCAAGCAGCUGGGCACCAGCACCGCUACCCGGGGUGACCCACGCCUUGGAUGCAGGCACGUUCCCUCGCCCAGGAACGGGGCCACCAUGUCGUCUGUGACGGGGAACUUGUCUGGGAUCUGCGUGCAGCGGCGGAGAAGGCCUGGGUUGACGCCAUUGAGGAUUCAACAGCCACCUCCUCAGAGUGGCCUACCCUGACCAGACCAAAUGUCCCCGCCUCCGCCUCACCUCCAGUCAUGCGAACACCCUGCCUGGGUUCAUCUCCAAACUGCACUAGUAACCAUCUGCAGGCCAGGGAGCAUUCAUGCACUGGGAAGGACAGGCUGCCUCAGCGUGCCCUGACAUCAUCAAUCCCUGAGCUGUACACUGGUCCUGCGGUUCUAAGGGGCAAGGCACAUUCAGCCUCUGCCACAAGGAGGAGCCAAAUCUGGUGAUUUUGGCUAAAUUCUUAGGUUGGAACCUGAAGAUCUUGGAAGCCAAGGCCAAGCAGCUGGAAGAUCCCACUAACUGGAAGGAUGCACACUGACCAUGGUCUAGAGAAGGGCCGUGAGACUCUGCUGCCCAGCAAAGUCCUUGCCCAGAUGACACUCUGGGUGUGUUACCAGCUCCAUGUCCAACCCAGGUCAUCAGAGGGCUCUGCUCUAGUCCCUCAAAGACAAAAGCUCCUGGAAGCACCAUAUCAACACAGACUUCUAGAACAGCAGAGGCAGAGAGAAAAGAACUGUGGAGAGGCUCAUGACAGCAGUUAAACUACAGUCUGGGGAUGACCUGCAUCAUGUCUGCUCAUAGCUCAUUGGCCAAAACUCACCCAUGACUCUGCCCACUGGAGGGCCAGAGGUUAAGUCUUCCUUGUGUCCAGAAGAGAAACCGGAUUUCAGUGGCAACACUAAUGACUCCACACCCAGAAGCUGGGUUCUCAGGCUUUGCAAAAUACCUGUUUUUUCUCUGUCA